AUACGUAGGGGGCGAGCGUUGUCCGGAAUGAUUGGGCGUAAAGGGCGCGUAGGCGGCCCGGUAAGUCUGGAGUGAAAGUCCUGUUUUUAAGAUGGGAAUUGCUUUGGAUACUGUCGGGCUUGAGUGCAGGAGAGGUAAGUGGAAUUCCCAGUGUAGCGGUGAAAUGCGUAGAGAUUGGGAGGAACACCAGUGGCGAAGGCGGAUUUAUGGAAUGUAACUGGCGCUGAGGCGCGAAAGGUGUGGGAGCAAACAGGAUUAGAUACCCCGGUAGUCCACACUGGAAACGGAGAAUGCUAGGUGUAGGGGGUAUCGACCCCUUCUGUGCCGCAGUCAACACAAUAAGCAUUCCGCCUGGGGAGUACGGCCGCAAGGUUGAAACUUAAAUGAAUUGACGGGG
RNAcentral lists this ribosomal RNA (397 nucleotides) under uncultured bacterium. RNAcentral's name for it is "partial 16S ribosomal RNA". It matches the Rfam family "Bacterial small subunit ribosomal RNA", at positions 523 to 918 of the family's 1533-position model. The record is from RNAcentral.